Molecule: ribosomal RNA, 164 nt
Filed under: uncultured bacterium
Lineage: Bacteria
Description: partial 16S ribosomal RNA
Rfam family: Bacterial small subunit ribosomal RNA
Source: RNAcentral
UAGGGAAUCUUCCACAAUGGACGAAAGUCUGGUGGAGCAACGCCGCGUGAGUGAAGAAGGGUUUCGGCUCGUAAAACUCUGUUGUUAAAGAAGAACAUAUCUGAGAGUAACUGUUCAGGUAUUGACGGUAUUUAACCAGAAAGCCACGGCUAACUACGUGCCAA